This is a long non-coding RNA of Miniopterus natalensis, 7604 nucleotides long. RefSeq lists it as uncharacterized. The record is from RefSeq and is a predicted model, not a curated record. NCBI's taxonomy places the organism in Eukaryota, Metazoa, Chordata, Mammalia, Chiroptera, Miniopteridae.
UUAACUUUGUAAUACUAAGUAAUCUUUUCCCUAUUCUGUUUUCUUUCUCUUAGAUGCUACCCAUAGAAAAGUCAGAGUUUUCCUGUUAAGUCUCUUUCUGGGUUCCCACCUCAUCUGCAAUUUUUAUAAAUAUAUAUAUAUCACCAUAUGAGUUAACCAACAGAAUUAUAGAAUUGAUAUUGUGUAUCUGGUCCUAUGCUAGGUUACACUUAAGUGAGGGUUAGAAAUGAUAUACAGUAAUCCUAUAUAUAAUCUUAUCCCCUAGAUGGUUGUAUUGUUGAGCUAAUAUAAGCACACUUGGAAUAAUUUUAGGAAAUGAUAAUCAAGUGCUGUCUUGUGUGAAUUAUGUUAAACUUUUAUAAAGGGAGCCUACCAGGGUUUGAAGUUGACUGUAAACUUGAAGGAGUUGGGUUUACUUUUUCUCUUUGGUUUAGGAUAUGAUUAAUAUUGGAGUCAUCUGGGUAGUCCAGUUGGUUUAUUUAAUGCCAUUCGGUUUUUACUUCUUUUGGAGGCAUGUAAAUCUAAUAAAGAGAUAAGGCCUAGUCAUUGUGUUUGACUACGUGCCAUGGCUGGCAAAUUGUUGAUUGUUAAAUCUCAUAAGCUUGAGCUUUUCAAGGUUCUGGUAUUGCAGAUAUAAUUCUGAUAUGUUGGUUCUUUGUACCUUUUUAUUCUAUCUCUGCCCAAGAACAGAUGAGAGUAGCGAUGAUGCCUUUUUUAGUUUGAGAUGUUUGUGGAACCUGUUUGGCAAGAGGGCAAUGGAAAAGUGGAUGAAUUCUGAGCCAGUUUGGAAGCCCUACUUAGGAAUGAUGCGUCAAUCAUAGGUGGAUUGAAUUCUGCACUAGAAAGCAUCCAAAGGACAUUCUGAACAUGUGAGACCUGACGACUACAAGCAGCUCUAAGAAGCUCCAUAUUCAGCAGAUCUUUCCUUUUGAAAAUCUGAAUAAGCUCCAACUAAUCUAAGGACGGCUUGCAGACUACGUGGAGAAAAAGAUCUUCCUCAGAAGAAAGGCUUGUUGCUUUUCAGUGUUAGUGACCUAUUCCCUUUGACGAUCCCUAGGUGGAGAUGGGGCAUGAGGAUCCUCCAGGGGAAAAGCUCACUACCACUGGGCAACAACCCUAGGCCAGGAGGUUCUUUCUACCAAGAUUCUUUCCUGGGCCCAGAUAAGAAGGUGAAGUCUCAAGACGUUCUCCGUACAUCAGAGGUGGUGGCUCCUGAUUGUUCCCUUUAUAUCUACCAAAUCAUUAAUCUUUCUCAAAAGCAAUGCAAAGAGCAAGAAAUUUGAAGACCCCAGAGGAAGAUCAACAUGCUUGGCACUCUAGCAUUUUAGAAUAGCAGAAUGAAUGUAUCUUGUCUCUUCUACUUCUAAAUGUUUGCCUUGGCUUACCUCUUUCACUCAUAAGUGUGUAUUUCUUUGCUUGUCUAUUUCUUCCUUGAAUGUCUUUGGUCUUUGUUCGCUAAAGUGUGUUUUACCCAAUUCCAUGAUCCUCUUGCAUCUUAUCUGUGUAUCUUUGUUUCGUUUUUUUGUUUGUUCAUAAGAGUCAUUUGUGCCUUGUCUUAGAUGUCUCUCAUUUUUUCCCUUUGUUACUAAUUGUCUUUGUUCUAGAUCUGACUCUUCUUUCACUCUUCUUCCCAUUGUGUCUCUGAGUCACAUGCUUUUGCUCAUUCUUUGUCUUGUCUAUCUCUUUUUUUCUCUUUCGAACUCUGCUUACUCAUUACCCUCUCCCAUUUUUUCUCUUUCGAACUCUGCUUACUCAUUACCCUCUCCCAUUUUGUUAGUUUGACAUUUUACUUUUUUCUGAUUCUGGCCUCCCUUCUGCUGUUUCUACUCUUCAUCUUGGAUAUCUCUUUUCUACGUGUCCUUUCUGCUUCUCUUGGGCCAUUUUCUCUCCUUUUUCCUGCUCUGUGUGCCUCAGUGUCUCUUUGUUCUUUGUGUCUUUCCGUUUAAACUUUCCUCUCUCUGUUUUCUUUGUUUCUUUUGCUUUUCUUCCACCCACCUUUGGGUAGUUCAAUCUCUUCAUGAGUCUGUGUCUCCCCCCUUUGAUUUCCUGAAAUCUUCUCUCCUUGUGUAUUUUUUGUACAUGUGUGUACACCCAUUGUGUGCAUGUUUGUGUUUGUGACAAAGGGGCUUCCUAACCCCUUCCCAAUAGGUGCAGAGUGUCUGCUAUCAAAAGAAGCAUUGAAGAGCUGUUCCUUAUGCCAGGCCAUCCUGUGAAAUAAUCCAAAACUAAAAGAAGGCCCAAGGGUCCAAAGACUUAAGAUGGACAAAAGGUAGAAGGCCCAUAGUGGGUAGAAGUCCCAACACAGAAGAUAGAACCAUGAUGUACAUACAGAAAGUGGCCCUUGUUGGACAGAAGACCUGACUAAGUUGGAUGGAAGUCUCAUGUCUUGAGUUAGACAGAAGGCUGAAGACUCAGGAUGAGAGGAUGAAGACCUGAGUGGGGACACAUGGAAGGCCUGAGACCUGAGACACAAGGCCUAAGACCUGAGAUAAAAAGCCUGAGCUUGAAGACCUAAGAACCGAAGAUAAGGAAUCCCUACAUGCACAUAAAAACCCAGGAGUCAAGUGUCUCUACAUGGACUCAAAGGCCCAAGAGAGACAGAUAUAUUAAGACUAAAUUAGGUGGGAAACUGGAGUCCCAUGACACAGAAUCUCAGAAGACUGGAAACCCCAAGACCGGAAGAAAUCCCAAUAUGAGAACCCUAAACCUCAUUUCUAUUCUACUGGUAUCUUCCCUACUGUUGGACAUGUUUAGUUCUCCCUUUCCAGUUUUCAAAUCUCCAUUUAAGCCCACUUACUUUGAGAUGUCCUUUUUGAUGAUGUUACUACCUUGAAGAGAUAUCUUGAGAUUGGCAAUAUUAUGCCUGGGCCAGUCUAAGGCAGUUUUUAUCAGAGUUUUGAGUCAUUAAGUUUUAGGUAUUUUUUAAAAACUUCAUUUCUUUUCACCUCCACUCUGUUUGAGAGAGACAAAUGGGUGAAAUUGUAUUUUAGUCCUCCCUUUUCGUAAGAGGCUCUAGGCUUAUGGGGGAGAAAAGUGCCAGGCUAUCUAAAGAAAAUGUGAAGAGAUGCUCCAGACCAAUGAGAACAAUUAGAUAAAAAGUACACAGAUGUGCCAGCCUGCUGAGAAGUACCAGCCAGCAACACCUGACUUCUUUGAGCUUGAGUGAGCAGAAUUCCUGGGGUUUGGGAAUCCUAGUGAUGGUUACAAAAAAGAACAAGUAAGCCUGGAACAGAAUGAGGCUCUAAGGAGACACCCUGAACUCCCUGCUCAUAGUAGUGGCCUAAUAAUUUGGUAAACUGCACCAGCCCUGCCCUGGGGUUUAAUACCAACCUCUAGGCUUAAAGGUGACAGAACUGGGAAGUAUUUAGCAGAUUUAAACUUUCCUUGUCUCCCCCACCUUACCAUAACGAAAGAAUUUAAAUGAUUGAGAAUAUAUAUGAAAGCAAGGUGUUCUCAUUAAUAGUGUAUUGGCAGUCAUGCAUAGCUAAUAUUUAUAAGUACAGUCAGUUGUGAAUCAUUAUAUACAUCAGGAGUCCUCACACCCUUUCUCCGAAGGGUGAGAUGGCAAAUAUUUUAGUCUUUGCAGGCUUUAUGGUCUACAUUCUCUCCCCUCAAUCCUUUAAAAUGGAAAAGCUAUUCUUAACUCUUUAACCAAGUGUAUUUGGUCUGUGGGCCAUAGUUAUUCCUGUUGUAAAUGUUAAAUAAUAUUAAUUUCCUUGUGUGGGCCUGUCUCUGUGCUAGGCACAAAGGACUCAAUGAUUAUUUAUGAUCAUAUCCAGGUGACCUGAAUAAAAAAUGUGAAUAUGCUUUUAAACUAUGAAAGUGCUUAAACACAAGUUUAAGAGUUGAUGAACGAAUAUUGAUUACAAAGUAUAUACAUUCUACUGUCUAAGCACAGUGGAUACAAAGAUUAGAAGAAGCAUGAAUGAAGUGCUUUGUCCAAAUUACAUAAUACUAUGCAGAUAUUAGGAAUUAAAUAAUUGAUAAAUGAAAAUUUGUUUGUAGCCAUCGUGUUUCUGCUGCUUUGGUGAUUUUGAAUAAAAAUGCAGUAUUCCAGGUAGCAGAAAAGAAAACACAUGGAAACUACUUUAAACUAUAAACUAUACAGCAAACACAAGGGAUUAAGCUAUUGCGAUGACUUCCAAUAUACUAGAUAACAUGCUAGGCACUACGGAUAACAGGAAAAAGCAUUCUCAGUAGAGAAUUUAAAAUUUCAGAUAAGUGCAUUUUAAAGUGGUUUGUAAACUAAAGCACUAAAUACCAAUGGGCUAAAUGUUUAUGAAUGAAUGAAUGAAUAAAUACUUCCAGCUAUUAUUUUGGGUUCUGUGAAAUCUAAGAUAAUGCUCCCAAGUAAUAAGAAGGAGGUUUAUAUUCUGCAUUAUUUAGAUGUAAAGAAUUAGAUAUUGCUUAUUUUAAUCAGUCAAGACUUUACUGGUGAUAACAAGUUAUUACCAGUAUAUUUUCCCAGAUAACAAGAAAAUAUAAUGAAUGAGCUUGAGCUUUCUAAACUAUAAAGUGUUGUAUAAAUAUGACAUAAGACGUUUUCUGUGUGAAUAAAACUUUCUGUGAGUUAAGCGUUGUCUGUAAAAUUCUGAUUAUAUGCUUGACCCACUACGAGAGAGGUCGUAUAAAUAAUUAUACAAACUGAGCGUUUGAUUACUUAUUUAAUGAACUAGUAUCAGUUCCUACUAUGCGAACUAACUGGUACAGGUACUAAAGAGAUACACACAUUUAGUGUGCCUACAGUUGAGAAUAAGGCAAUAAAUAUGUUAGCAUUUUGUGAACUCUAAAGCACCAUAUAAAUGUAACUUGAUUUUCUCAUUUGGUGCCAAGUACUAUAAAAACUUGAAGUAUUGUUAACUAUUGAACACUCUGACUAUAAUAUGUAAAAGAUUAAAUUUAUGAUGAAUUCAAGGCUGGAUAAUGUCUACUAUGUGCCAGUCUUUGCUAGGCAUCAAGGAUCUGAAAAUAAAACAUCUUUAUUGUGUUUGUAAAUGUUAAACUGCCAUACAAUGUAAGCAAUAUCUGCUGUAUGAAUAUUGAUGAUUUACUCUCUCAUAUCCCCAGAAAGCAACUAGUGAUACAAAAAUUAAUUACCCUUAUUAUUGAACCUGCAACAGAGAUCUGCGUAAAUUUAGAAAUCUUUGUGUUCUAUAUAGAUAAAAGGAAUUAACUGUUGCCUUAGUGAAUGACUGAUUACUUUCUAUGAGGCUCAAAACUGCACAAAAAUGAUUUUAUCAUUAUUGGAUGCUUAUAGGAGGAAAUGAUGUAAUAGAUGUGAGAUCUAUACUAAAAGGUACUUAACUACUGCCAGGCUUAUGUAAUGAUGAAAACAUGGGGAAAAUAGAAUUGUGCAAAGCAGUAUGCUAAAUGCUGAGCUUAGGUGUAAAGAUACCAUCUAGACCAAAAAGCUACUUGCUCCCUGGCCUAAGUGAAGAGAUGGGAAAAUUUUUUUAAAAAAAAACAAGGUGUUCCGGUUUUCCGUUAGAUUUUUAAAUUCUUAAUGCUGAAGAUGGAGGUGAAUUAGCUUCACCUUGGCCUGGCUAGAGACAUUUAAAGAGUAAAAAUAAAUGGCUCAGCAUUGCUUUUGGAUUUACUUGACAAACAUGGCAUAUUUUAUAUGGAAUAAAUAAUUCUAGGUCCUGAGCAUAAGAGCAGUGAAAUGGGCCUAGUGUAAAGAUCUUUAUAUCAGUCACAGAUCAUAGCUGAAGAUAUGAAAACAUCUUUGAUUUUUGAGUAAAUAUCGGAGUGCCUGUUUUCUGGGAAGUACUAUGCUCAUUUAAUUAGUCGAGUAGGCAUGGUUCAGAAAACCCAUCGACUUGCUUUGGAGAUAAAAACAAAAGGGGGAAAAAGUCAUGGUUCUUUUAAUAUAAAAUGACAUUUUCCCUAAUUCUAAAAAGUCCCAAUAUCACUUGCUCAUUGACCUAAAUUGAAGCCAGAAGACUGAUAAAAGGGCUCAGGAUUUGUCCUUAAUUGAUUAAGAUUCUGCUUUAAUUAUUAUUAUGCAGUUUAUGAUGAGAAUUAAGAUGAAACAACUGGUAAAGUUAUUUGCUCAUUGGCCUGGCUUAGAGUCAGGAAGCCAGUUGAGCAAUAAGAACUUUUUUUUCUAUAUUUUGUAAACAUUUAUUCACUCCGAAUAAAGUACUGUCCUUAAGUACUAAGGAGAAUUAAGAGAUUCAAAACAACAAAGUGCACUUUAAUCUCAGUAGCUUAUGGUUGAAACACAAGAACAAAUUUUAUCAUUGCAGGUCUUUCAUUAGAUGAAAAAAAUUAAUUGACCAGCUGUGAUAUUAAGACACAGAGGGAAUGGUUAAAUAGAUCACCUUCUCUUUGACGUGUUUUAUAGAGGAGGAAUGAGAGCUUUUUAUUUAUUCAUUAAUACAAACAUUGGAGAAGGUGAUGCUAAAAGAAAUAGAUCUGUUGCAAAGGCAUUUUGUCUUGGAGAUGCAAUAAAAAAACAAGAAUGAAACUGGUCAUUAAACAGAAGUGUCUAUUUCAAGGCAAUGUGCUAAUUUCUAGGCAAGGAAUAAAAAAGGGUCUUAACUGAAAUACAAUUUUUUUUUAACUGGCUUGGAGGCUAGAAUAUGGAAGAGUUUACUGUUCCUUCACUUUUUUUUUUCAUUUAUUCAUUCAUUCUACAAGUAUAAUUGAGUACCUAUUAUAUAUAAGGUUUUGCUGGGUUCUCACUUGGCCCAAGAGAUGAAAAAUGAAUGCUUUCCCAGAGAAAUUGUAAAACUUUCCUUUAGAGUUGUUUUCUUGUUAGGGGUUUUUAGCCCCUGGAUAACAUUGUGUGGUUUAAUUCCUACUCCAUAUUUCUUCUGUCAUUCUGGCCACUACAAUAAGCAGGGUUUUUCACUGAGCUUGCUCCUUAAAUUACAGGAGCCUUUCUUAUAAUAGACCAUUUUUCCUAGCCCGUCGCUCAUGAGAAAUGGCUGUGGCCAUUGUUGGGCAGAAGGAGGGAUGACAACUAAUUCCCAAACCCCAGUCUCAAUGGUACCAUCCUUGGGGAACCACCCAUACUCAAACCACAAUUGGUUUUGAAACAUUCACCAGUUUUGUCUAUUUUCAAUUCUUUAUUCUUUACAUUCUGACAAAUACACACUGCCUAAGUAGAUCUCUGAAGAACAAUCCCCAGAUAGCAAGAUUGGAGAUGGAGACAUGAUAUCUCUUUAACAACAAACUUUCUACUUAAACCUUAGAAAUUGCCUCUCAGCAUCAAACUUGGUCACAAAAGGACUUAUUGUGGUACAGUACUGUCAUUGAAUGAAAAAAUGAAAAUGGCUUAACAAUUUUUACCAUGCUUAAAUUUUAAGAAUAAUAAAAACUAGAAGUAAUUGGCAAAAAUUGGAGGGAAAAACACCAAACAAACAAAAAGUUAAAAUCCAAACUUCUAAAUCUAGGCCCAACUGGGUUUUGACCUUUUCUAUUUUUAAAUCACUCACAGAGGGUGGGAUAGGAGGAAGAGUGAAAGAAAAGGUCAAACCUAUUUCUAAGGGCAGCCUGGCUUUGUUUUGGAUUGGUCUUGAGGUAUUAGUACCUCCAGGAAUAACUUGGGUAUUGCUUUUUAAAAAUUUAAUGGAAUUAAAAUAACUGGUCAUUGUUGA